GACGAACGCUGGCGGCGUGCUUAACACAUGCAAGUCGAACGGAAAGGCCCUGCUUUUGUGGGGUGCUCGAGUGGCGAACGGGUGAGUAACACGUGAGUAACCUGCCCUUGACUUUGGGAUAACUUCAGGAAACUGGGGCGAAUACCGGAUAGGAGAUCCUGCUGCAUGGUGGGGGUUGGAAAGUUUCGGCGGUUGGGGAUGGACUAGCGGCUUAUCAGCUUGUUGGUGGGGUAGUGGCUUACCAAGGCUUUGACGGGUAGGCGGCCUGAGAGGGUGAACGGCCACCUUGGGACUGCGAUACGGCCCAGACUCCUACGGUAGGCAGCAGUGGGGAACAUUGCACAAUGGGCGGAAGCCUGAUGCAGCAACGCCGCGUGCGGGAUGACGGCCUUCGGGUUGUAAACCGCUUUCGCCUGUGACGAGGCGUGAGUGACGGUAAUGGGUAAAGAAGCACCGGCUAACUACGUG
Molecule: ribosomal RNA, 468 nt
Filed under: uncultured bacterium
Lineage: Bacteria
Description: partial 16S ribosomal RNA
Rfam family: Bacterial small subunit ribosomal RNA
Source: RNAcentral